AUACAGAGGGUGCGAGCGUUAAUCAGAAUUACUGGGCGUAAAGCGCGCGUAGGCGGUUAUUUAAGUCAGAUGUGAAAUCCCUGGGCUCAACCUAGGAACUGCAUCUGAAACUGGGUAACUAGAGUUUAGGAGAGGGGAGUAGAAUUUCGGGUGUAGCGGUGAAAUGCAUAGAGAUCCGAAGGAAUACCAGUGGCGAAGGCGACUCCCUGGCCUAGAACUGACGCUGAGGUGCGAAAGCGUGGGUAGCAAACGGGAUUAGAAACCCCAGUAGUCC
RNAcentral lists this ribosomal RNA (274 nucleotides) under uncultured bacterium. RNAcentral's name for it is "partial 16S ribosomal RNA". It matches the Rfam family "Bacterial small subunit ribosomal RNA", at positions 523 to 796 of the family's 1533-position model. The record is from RNAcentral.